This 1988-nucleotide unclassified non-coding RNA is filed under the name Hevea brasiliensis (rubber tree). The record is from RNAcentral. Lineage: Eukaryota; Viridiplantae; Streptophyta; Magnoliopsida; Malpighiales; Euphorbiaceae.
GCAGAGGCUGCUAAAUAUGAAGCCCUUUCACGUCUUGAAAAGUUAUCCUUGGAUCACAUUGAGGAGAAAAAGAAACAAUAUUCUGGAUUUAUCUCGUUAAAAUCUGCUGCUGAUCAACUCUGGGAGAGCUUUUCUCAUAUCAAUAAUUUGCUAGCUGGUUUUUUCUCUCAGGACUUGGAAUUUCUGCAAAAUCUGGAGUCUGGUAUGAAGUCAUGCCUUAAUAGAGCAGAGUCUGAUCUUGUGGUUCGAGUUCCUCUUUUCAGUGCAUAUGAUGGCAUUAAUUCCAGCAUUUUGGGAAACAAGGGGAACUUCAUGGCUGUAGAUUUUUCAUCAGAAACCAAUAUGCUGGAGCAUUUGGAGGAUGAUUUUAUUUCUGAAGUUUGUAGUUCUUUGCAAGAAUUCAUUAAAGAAAUUGCUGCUGUUAAUAAAAUGUUACAUGAACACACUGCUACAUUUCACAAACAAGCUAGCAGUCUAUCCAAAUUAAUGGGUUCUAUUCAUAGAGAUAUGAGUUCCCAAAAAGAGUCAUUUGAGGCCAUGAAGCAAGACGUUAAGCUUAUAGAAUCAAAUGGAAAAGAAAAGGACAUGCAGAUUGUUACAUUGCGCCGGAACAUUGCCUUGCUUCAUGAAGCCUGCACCAGAUCACUCAUGGAAAUUGAAAAUAGAAAAGCUGAAGUUGUCGCAAAGAGUUUGGCUGCCCGAAAUCUGGGCAUAAAUUUGAAACCAACAACUUAUGGUGAUGGUGGACUUCCCUUUGGUGGAGAGAGUUAUUUUUCAUCCGAGGAACAUGUCAAGACUACGGCAGAAAAAUUGUUAUUGGCCGUGAAAGAUCUUGCUUGCUUAAAAGGUGAGAUUAUAGAGGGUAACGAGAAGGAAAUGAAAAUUACCAUAUCAAAUUUGCAGAAGGAGCUUCAGGAGAAGGAUAUUCAAAGAGAGAGAAUUUGCAAGGAUCUUGUCAGUCAUAUUAAGCAAGUCGAAGCUGCUGCAACAAACUACUCCCUUGACCUUCAAUCUUCAAAAUCUCAUGUGCAUGAUUUGGAGAAAAAGGUGGAAACAAUUGAAUAUGAGCGGAAUUUAUUGGAGCAGAGAGUGAUGGAACUUCAAGAUCAGCAAACCAUCUCAACAGAGUUACAGGAGAAUGUCAGAUCUCUGACUGAUAGGCUCAAUGCCAAAGACCAAGAAAUUGAAGCCCUAAUGCAAGCUCUUGAUGAGGAGGAAAUGCAGAUGGAUGAUUUAACAAAAAAAGUAGAGGAGUUGGGAAAAGUUGUCCAACAAAAGAAUUUGGAUAUUGAAAAACUUGAAGCCUCCCGUGGAAAGGUUGUGAAAAAGCUUUACACCACUGUCAGCAGGUUUGACGAGCUUCAUCUUUUUUCUGAAAGUCUCCUUGCUGAGGUUGAACAGCUUCAAUCUCAAUUGCAAGAUCGUGAUGCUGAGAUCUCUUUCUUAAGGCAAGAGGUAACUAGAUGCACAAAUGAUGCUCUUGUUGCGUCUCAGACAAGCAACAAGAGAAAUUCAGAUGAGCUCUAUGAGUUAUUGACAUGGUUAGUCGCGGUGGUUUCUUUAGAUGUCAAUCUUACAGAUAGCAGUCAGGUUCACGAGUACAAAGAAAUAAUUCAGAAAAAGAUUACAUCUAUUUUGUCUGAAUUGGAGGAUCUGCGGGAAACAGCUCAAAGCAGGGAUGCAUUAUUGCAAAUUGAGAGAAGUAAAGUAGAUGAUUUAACACGCAGAGAAGAAAUUCUUGAGAAAUCUUUGCAUGAGAAGGAAUCCCAAUUAAAUAUGCUUGAAGUUGGCAGAGAUAUGGAGCAACCAACCAGUGCAAGCUCUGAAAUUUUGGAAGUUGAACCUGUGAUAAAUAAAUGGACAGUGCCUGGGCCCUCCACUGCUUCUCAAGUACGCAGUUUGCGCAAAGUCAACAAUGAUCAAGUUGCUAUUGCUAUAGACAUGGCUCCUGGUAGCACUAGUACACUAGAGGAUGAAGAUGAUGAAAA